UUGUGGAGGAGGACGCCGAAGGUGGGGCUAAUGACUGGGGUGAAGUCGUAACAAGGUAGCCGUACCGGAAGGUGCGGCUGGAUCACCUCCUAACAGGGAGACAACAAAAUGUUAAAUAUUAAUUUUGUCACCUUAGGUCGAUCGGUAUCUCACAUUCUUAAUUUAUUAAGGAUUUUUUUUCCUAAGUUUUUUCUAGGUCACACCCAUUACUUUUCCUGGGCCAUUAGCUCAGGUGGUUAGAGCGCACCCCUGAUAAGGGUGAGGUCCCUGGUUCAAGUCCAGGAUGGCCCAUAUCUCUAUGUUGGGGGUAUAGCUCAGUUGGUAGAGCGCCUGCUUUGCAAGCAGGAUGUCAGCGGUUCGAGUCCGCUUACCUCCACUGAUUACCACCUCUUCCAUAAUUUUUAGAAGGGAAAUGUUUUGAGUUGUGAUCAAAUUCUGAAAGAAUCUAGCUUCCUAAUCAAAUUGAUUAAGAUGCUGGACUCAUUGAAUUAAUUUCAUUGUUUUCAGAGAACCUUGACAACUGCAUAGAUUUUUUUAAAGACAAUAAGCAUCUUUAAUGAUGCAGAUUUAUUAUUUGUGCGAAUGCAUUAAUAACAAUUCUAUUAAGCUGAUGCUUCAAUUUUUGAAGUUAUUGGUCAAGCUACAA
Molecule: unclassified non-coding RNA, 646 nt
Filed under: uncultured Prochlorococcus sp.
Lineage: Bacteria; Bacillati; Cyanobacteriota; Cyanophyceae; Synechococcales; Prochlorococcaceae
Description: partial 16S-23S ribosomal RNA intergenic spacer; may also contain 16S ribosomal RNA and 23S ribosomal RNA
Rfam family: tRNA (bases 304-376)
Source: RNAcentral